Molecule: long non-coding RNA, 481 nt
Filed under: Brassica napus (rape)
Lineage: Eukaryota; Viridiplantae; Streptophyta; Magnoliopsida; Brassicales; Brassicaceae
Description: long non-coding RNA (BNAP_LNC015887)
Source: RNAcentral
GGGCUAGAAAUACGGAACAUUUAUGAUCAAGCGAUUUAAGAUGGGGAGAUGAAGAGUUCACCGGUGAAAAAAAUAGAUUACGAAUAGACACAUGGUGCAACUCUGUAACCCAGACCUGUCUGAGACAAUGAUGAAAAGAACCAUAACUUCAUUACAAGAAAAUCGAGUAUUAACAGCGCCGGGAAAACACUAUGUAACGAUACUGACGGUGGUUUUCGGCGGCUACCUGCGUCUUAAAUCUGAAGCCGCCAGCUUCCUCAUUCUCUCAUCUUUGUUCAAAUAGAGAGAGAGAGAGAGAGAGGGAGAGGGAGAGAGAGAGAGAGAGAGAGAGAGAGAGAGAGAGAGAGAGAGGUCGUAUGGUGGUGCUUGUGAUUCUGGGACGGCGAACGAACGAACAUCAUGGGGGUAUUUAUGCUGGGAUGGCGAACGAACGGAGGUCGUGUGGUGGUGGAGGUGAUGGUGAGCCUUGCUUCUUCUUCAU